UAAGGAUGGUUCUUCAGAAGCUUGCUACUUGUAGCUUGCCUUUAUCGAACCUCUUUUGAAACAUCAGGGGCCAACAGUUUCAGGAUUGUUGAGCUCCAUUGGCGGGAUUUCGCCGUCUUCGUUUCUCUUUCUUCGCGGACGAACACGCGCCAGGGGCUUGCGCUUGUGCGAUGCAUUGGCGUGAGCCGAUGCGCGCUCGCGCGGUCCCUCGUGUUAGGGGCUUGUAGCUCAGUUGGUUAGAGCGCGCGCUUGAUAAGCGUGAGGUCGGAAGUUCAAGUCUUCCCAGGCCCACCAGCCUUCGCUGCUGUGCAGCUUCGGCUCGGCAGGCCUUCUUGAACGAAGGCUGCUGCGCCGUAGCGCUAGCGAAGGCGAGCGCGCCGUAUGAGGCAUUCGUCUUCUGGUACGGGGCCAUAGCUCAGCUGGGAGAGCGCGUGCUUUGCAAGCAUGAGGUCGUCGGUUCGAUCCCGUCUGGCUCCACCAGAUGGUUUGAUCGACGCGAUCGCUUGCCUGAGACAAGGCUUCAAAACAAUUCGUCCGCGAAACAUCGCUUUGCAGCGGCUGUCCCAAUGGGAUGCCGUCUGCGGGAUUUCUGACAUCGUAAAGAGAAGAUCGAUCCGAGUUGGGUCGUGCAAGCAAUUGCGCGGCACUCCAUUAUCUCCGGAUCAUUUCGGCGCUCGCGCAUCGCAAGAUGGGUGAGUUGUAAAUGAUCUUUUUAGCGAAGCUUGACCGCCUCGCUAUCGGUUCGAUCUUACGAAGCAAGCUGGUCUUUCUAAUCAGUGUCCGGCCGCGCAUAGCAUUCAUCGAGGGUGCGUGCCUUAACAGGCAAUUGUGCGGACAACAUUCUGCCGAGUGUGUGGACAUUGAUAAUGAGAGCA
This 875-nucleotide transfer RNA is filed under the name uncultured bacterium. RNAcentral's name for it is "16S-23S ribosomal RNA intergenic spacer". The stretch from base 218 to 291 matches the Rfam family "tRNA". The record is from RNAcentral.